CGACGGCCACCACGGCUAGCGAAAGUCCCGCUGAGGCCGCGACGGGCGCAGGGUCCGAGUCACCGUCCGCCGGUUCGGGGCCGAGCCGUCGUC
This 93-nucleotide transfer RNA is filed under the name Mycobacterium bourgelatii. Its description in RNAcentral is "tRNA-Leu". The record is from RNAcentral. Lineage: Bacteria; Bacillati; Actinomycetota; Actinomycetes; Mycobacteriales; Mycobacteriaceae.